UAACAUUAGAAUGUUUAAAAUCAUAAUUUGGGCAAUCGAAAUUUCGAAAUUAUUAAGUCAGUUCAAAAGUGAAAAUAAUCGAAAAACUUAGGCAUCACUGCUGCCGCUGUUGCCAUUGCAAUCUUUAUUAAAAAGCAGACGAUCACUUCACGAGGACGGUCAGCUGGCGAACGUGAACGUUUCGAAAGUUAAAUCUACAUAGCUAUUCCCUACUCAGCAAUUAUGAACAAGGUGUAAGAGAAGCAGUUGUUACAACCACGUACGUCGUAUCCUUAUCAGGCAGCUGACGGGGAACUGUAGGUGAAGAUUUUGAUCAAUCAAGCCUGUCACCACUCCACAGGGGACAUCCAAAUUGCAGCUGUUUUACCAUUCGCCUUGUCUUCGCACUUGUUCUCCACCAGCUCUUUGCCUUCCCACUCUUUACUUCUGCCCGAUAGGAUCUUAGGCAGGAAAGACAAGUCGACCUUCCGUUUGCUUAUUAGUGGAUCCGGCGAUUUUUUCAUCACCUCUUCCCUCAGAGUCCUCGUGUACGUUCAUGUGAAUGUGAACGUAUUCACGGGGACGUCCUUAUUCAUCGAAUGAACCGCAAGAAUCCUCCUUCAUCGAGUCUUCACACUUCUUUUUCGUUCUUUCCAGUCAAGGACUUUGGUCGCCUUCUGACGGAAGCUGUGCAAGCCUGACAUGUUGACAUGGAUGCUGCAACAACCUGGAUUGACCCGUUUAUCGAACUGCAUCAACAUUACACAAUUCGACUGAGACUGAUGUGGUCGACCUUCCGUUUGCUUAUUAGUGGAUCCGGCGAUUUUUUCAUCACCUCUUCCCUCAGAGUCCUCGUGUACGUUCAUGUGAAUGUGAACGUAUUCACGGGGACGUCCUUAUUCAUCGAAUGAACCGCAAGAAUCCUCCUUCAUCGAGUCUUCACACUUCUUUUUCGUUCUUUCCAGUCAAGGACUUUGGUCGCCUUCUGACGGAAGCUGUGCAAGCCUGACAUGUUGACAUGGAUGCUGCAACAACCUGGAUUGACCCGUUUAUCGAACUGCAUCAACAUUACACAAUUCGACUGAGACUGAUGUGGUCGACCUUCCGUUUGCUUAUUAGUGGAUCCGGCGAUUUUUUCAUCACCUCUUCCCUCAGAGUCCUCGUGUACGUUCAUGUGAAUGUGAACGUAUUCACGGGGACGUCCUUAUUCAUCGAAUGAACCGCAAGAAUCCUCCUUCAUCGAGUCUUCACACUUCUUUUUCGUUCUUUCCAGUCAAGGACUUUGGCCGCCUUCUGAAGGAAGCUGUGCAAGCCUGACAUAGUGACAUGGAUGCUGCAACAACCUGGAUUGACCCGUUUAUCGAACUGCAUCAACAUUACACAAUUCGACUGAGACUGACGUGUGGCACUCGAGAACGAAAAUGGUGAAAAUGGCUAGCUGCUCUCCAGUCUCCAUAUGCAAAUUUACAUCCGAUUACUUCUGAGUGAGAAAAGUCUCAUCCGUGGACAUUGUGUCAAUUAUGUUUUAUGUGACAGUUCAACCUAUACUGCCUGCCCUUAUGGACCUGCACUCUUGGAUAAAUUUGUCAGGAUUCCGGAAUCAUUUGCAGUUUCAAAUCCAAAUAAGGAAUAUUUCGGCGUCUUAGAUUAGAUUUGAUAGUUGAACUUGCUGGUUUUCGAGAGUCACAGCCGUCGAUCGAGAAAACCAAUGAGACGAGACCGAAAUGGAAUUCGAAGAAGCUAGUCAUUG
Daphnia pulicaria is the source of this 1729-nucleotide long non-coding RNA. RefSeq lists it as uncharacterized. NCBI's taxonomy places the organism in Eukaryota, Metazoa, Arthropoda, Branchiopoda, Diplostraca, Daphniidae. The transcript is spliced from 11 exons. The record is from RefSeq and is a predicted model, not a curated record.